UAAAACGUGAUGAGCAGGAGAAGUAAAUCAGAUUUAUUUUUCAGAGAGCCGGGGGAUGGUGGAACCCGGUAAGUAAACUGAUUGAAAUACACCUGGGAGCAGCAGGUCGAAAUAGAAGUAGACUUUGCCGGAGCGCCACCGUUAUCAUAGGCUAGGGUAUCAGAUUUUAUCUCGUACCUGAGUAAAGCGGCUUGCAAUGCAAGCAGGGUGGUACCGCGGGCUUAUAUCCCGUCCCUGAU
Molecule: non-coding RNA, 239 nt
Filed under: Propionispora sp.
Lineage: Bacteria; Bacillati; Bacillota; Negativicutes; Selenomonadales; Sporomusaceae
Description: T-box sequence
Rfam family: T-box leader
About the family: Uncharged tRNA acts as the effector for transcription antitermination of genes in the T-box leader family.
Source: RNAcentral